Molecule: ribosomal RNA, 253 nt
Filed under: uncultured bacterium
Lineage: Bacteria
Description: partial 16S ribosomal RNA
Rfam family: Bacterial small subunit ribosomal RNA
Source: RNAcentral
UACAGGGGGGGCAAGCGUUGUUCGGAAUUACUGGGCGUAAAGGGCUCGUAGGCGGCCAACUAAGUCACACGUGAAAUCCCCAGGCUUAACCUGGGAACUGCGUGUGAUACUGGAUGGCUUGAAUUCGGGAGAGGGAUGCAGAAUUCCAGGUGUAGCGGUGAAAUGCGUAGAUAUCUGGAGGAAUACCGGUGGCGAAGGCGGCAUCUUGGACCGACAUUGACGCUGAGGAGCGAAAGCUAGGGGAGCAAACGGG